Molecule: ribosomal RNA, 1299 nt
Filed under: Triticum aestivum (bread wheat)
Lineage: Eukaryota; Viridiplantae; Streptophyta; Magnoliopsida; Poales; Poaceae
Description: partial small subunit ribosomal RNA
Source: RNAcentral
AUGGCAGGGGAAGGGGGCGGGGAGGAGAAGACGAUCGCCGUCGGAGCAGGAGACACGGAGGAGAAGAGCGGCGAGGAGACGGCGGCGGCGCUUCCAAAGCUUCCGAAGAAACAGGCGUGCAAGAGGCCCGCGGAGGACCAGCAGCUGCAGAACGCCGCCGCCGCCAAGAAGCGGGCUCAGCACUCAAACCGCCAGCGCGCCGGAGCCCCAGCACCGCCACCACAAGGCAACGGCAUGCAGGCUCCUACCAGGACGCCGGAAUACUAUGCUCGACCACCGUUGCCGCGGCCACCGGUGGCACGCAACAACGGCCCGGCGCCGCAGCCGGCGUUGAACGGGCAGGUGCGCGUACCGCGGCAGCCGGCGGCAUACAACGGGCAGGUGCCGAUGAUGACACGACAGCCGGCGGCACACGACGGGCAGGUGCCGAUGAUGACACGACAGCCGGCGGCAUACGACGGGCAGAUGCCGGUGGCGCACCAGCAGGUGGCGUUCAACGGCCAGAUGCGGCCGCCGCCGUACCGGCCCGCAGGUACCCCCAGCAAUCACGCUCAGAAUCAGACAGUGAUAACGCCGCCUUCGUGCCCGGCCGGCCAAGCAGUGAACCCGCCGCCGGCCGUCCCGCGGAUGCAGAAGCAGCCAGAGACGGAUGAGAUGCGCGAGAAGCGAGUGAUUCAGCAAAAUCUGGAGGAAUACCUCCGGUUACAAAGACAGAUCUACGCAGCCAAGCAGCAAUGGCGGAUGACGUUCAUGCAGCAGCAGCAACAGGGCAUGGCGUUCACGCAGCAGCAGCAGCAGCAGCAAGCGCAGGCUAUGGCGUUCACGCAGCAGCAGCAACCGCAGUCUAUGGCGUUCACGCAGCAGCAGCAACAGGCUAUGGCGUUCACGCAGCAGCAGCAGCAGCACGCGCAGGCUAUGGCGUUCGCGCGGCAGCAGCAGCAGCCGACGGCGUACGCGCCGCAGCUGCAGCAGUACCGUCAGCAGCAGCAGCAGCAGUACCAUCAGCAACUGCCGUACUUGGGCGGCGCCAGCGCGAGCUGCCAUCAUCAGGCGGGGGGCAUGGUCCCUCGGUUCUCGCUCGACGACUUCUACGCUAGCAACGCUGCGCAGCACUACGAGCGCUCUCGGAUGGUCCUCCCGGCGGCGAGCGGUUCGCUAGGAGAGGCGGCGCGGGCGACGGCAGAGGCUUUGCCGGUCAGUACGGUGGUGAGUGUGGAGGGAGACGGGGAUCGCGGCAGCCAUGGCCAGCAGGAGCCCGCCCGCGCGUCGUCGGAGGGCGAUGGCUCCCAGCAUGCAUGA